AGGGGUGUAGUUCAUCGGUAGAACGGCGGUCUCCAAAACCUCAGAGGUGGGUUCGAUUCCUUCCACCCCUG
Molecule: non-coding RNA, 71 nt
Organism: Lachnospiraceae bacterium TWA4
Lineage: Bacteria; Bacillati; Bacillota; Clostridia; Lachnospirales; Lachnospiraceae
Source: Rfam